GGUUAUGGCUUAGUGGUAGAGUACUUGCCUAGCAUGUGUGAGGCACUGAGUUCUAUCCUCAGCACCA
Molecule: transfer RNA, 67 nt
Filed under: Marmota monax (woodchuck)
Lineage: Eukaryota; Metazoa; Chordata; Mammalia; Rodentia; Sciuridae
Description: tRNA.Ala
Source: RNAcentral